RNAcentral lists this ribosomal RNA (497 nucleotides) under uncultured bacterium. RNAcentral describes it as "partial 16S ribosomal RNA". It matches the Rfam family "Bacterial small subunit ribosomal RNA", at positions 28 to 507 of the family's 1533-position model. The record is from RNAcentral.
GAUGAACGCUGGCGGCGUGCCUAAUACAUGCAAGUCGAGCGAACAGACGGGUAGCUUGCUCCUCUGACGUUAGCGGCGGACGGGUGAGUAACACGUGGAUAACCUACCUAUAAGACUGGGAUAACUUCUGGAAACCGGAGCUAAUACCGGAUAAUAUAUUGAACCUCAUGGUUCAAUAGUGAAAGACGGUUUUGCUGUCACUUAUAGAUGGAUCCGCGCCGCAUUAGCUAGUUGGUAAGGUAACGGCUUACCAAGGCAACGAUGCGUAGCCGACCUGAGAGGGUGAUCGGCCACACUGGAACUGAGACACGGUCCAGACUCCUACGGGAGGCAGCAGUAGGGAAUCUUCCGAAAUGGGCGAAAGCAUGACGGAGCAACGCCGCGUGAGUGAUGAAGGUCUUCGGAUCGUAAAACUCUGUUAUUAGGGAAGAACAAAUGUGUAAGUAACUAUGCACGUAUUGACGGUACCUAAUCAGAAAGCCACGGCUAACUACGUG